GACGCGGAGCAGCCAAAGAAGUGGGUGCCAGGCAGGGCAGAUCAGGGCGCAAGGCAGCUGGAGUAGCAGGGGCUGGAUCGGAGCGUGAGACAGCUGGAGCAGUGGGAGGCCAGAUCAGAGCACGAGGCAACGGUAGCAGAGCCCAGAUGAUACCUGACCGACUGAACAUUUCCAACAUUUUCUGUUUUAUCUUGGGGGCAUGCUAAACAACUGAUUAUUGCCUGCCAGCAGUCACUGAAGAGGCCACACAGCGUUUAGAGGCUUGUGCUUCAAAUAAUGCCUUUUCUUAACAGCGACCAGCUGUUUGUGAGUAUACAAAAGCAUUGAUAUCAAUUUCAAACUCCACUUAUAAAGGGAUAUUUACCAUUUAAAGUGAUAACAUUUCACACUGGACCUGUAAAAAGGGCCUCUGAAACAUCAGAAGACUUUCUUUGUCAAGACUUUACCAAUUCUCGAGCAACAUUUAUUCCAGAUAUUCUCUAAGCACUUCUAAUAAAAAUAACAAAUGUUGAGUCACGGCCAUACUGGUGAGACAAUAUUGUGACUUUAACUGCACUUUAAAGGACUGAAAUUCAAGAAUGCUUCCAAAAGCCAUAAGACACUUUUGUGGAUUACAAAAGAUUAUCUAGUACCCAGAGAGAAACAUCUUCAGAGACUUCAAGACCAACCUCCCUCAGAGAGAGAGAGAGAGAGUCCUGCAAAGAGCCAUCCGUUGCUGCAGUCAAUUAAGCAGCCUAAGUAUAUAGCUCUAGUACCUUGCAAGAGGACUCCCUCCCCUCAAGUUCACCUGAGUUCUCAACCUCUGGCAGAUCUACUAUAAGAACUUUCGCAGCCACGGAGAAAUCUCUACUUUUCAAGAUCUUCACUUCCAGCCAAAACAUCAGCUCAACUAAGAAACAUCAGGACCCACAAUGAAACAGAGAGCAAAUUAAAUUAAAUUUUAUAAUGACUGUUUUACCUUCAACUGUAUCUAUUUUUUGUGUGUGCGAUAGUGUGGCUAAGUUAUGUGAAUGAGACAUUAAACUUUCAUUUAACCUUCAGGGUAAGUGUGUGUGAGAAAUAAAGUAACUUUCUUCAUUUCAA
Molecule: long non-coding RNA, 1083 nt
Organism: Carcharodon carcharias (great white shark)
Lineage: Eukaryota; Metazoa; Chordata; Chondrichthyes; Lamniformes; Lamnidae
Exons: 2
Source: RefSeq, a predicted model, not a curated record